RNAcentral lists this long non-coding RNA (7062 nucleotides) under Selaginella moellendorffii. RNAcentral describes it as "long non-coding RNA (SMOE_LNC000970)". The record is from RNAcentral. Lineage: Eukaryota; Viridiplantae; Streptophyta; Lycopodiopsida; Selaginellales; Selaginellaceae.
CCAGUUAGCGUUCUAAUCUGCAUAGAAGCUAGAAGUUUAAAACAAGAGCUUCAAAACAAGAGCGAGCUUACCGGAGUGUUAGUUCUGACAUUCCAGAUCCGCAAGGUGCUAUCAGUCGAUGCGGACACGAGCUCCUCCGGCGUGAUGAACUUCACGUACGAGACGGUCUUUUGGUGGCCGCUAAAGGUGUGGACUGGCGAAGCAGGAGAGCGCAAAUCGUAGUAAUGUAUGCGGUGAUCGGCCGAUCCAACCUGCAAAUGCUUGGAAAUGAAUAAAACACCACUGUACCAAACCGAUAACUCACAAGAGAUAGAAAAAGAGUACCGCUACAAAAUUGCUGGAGCUGGGAUUGAACUUGACGCAGCAGAUGUUGGCUUUCAUGUCGAUUCCCAUGACGCUGCUCUCCUGUCGAGUAGACCACACUUUGAGCUGCAAGUUUUUCUCAAAGUUAGAUGGAAACAAAGAAUUUUCAAAAAGAUACGUUCUAACCUUGCCAUCGUCACUGCCAGAAACAAGUAAAUUGGGAUCGGUUCUAGCAAAAUCGACACUCCACGCUCGCUUGGCAUGCUCUUCGUACUCCAUGAUACUCUGAAAUCAAGAUAGGAACGGAAGCUCUCGCCCGUCUCACUAGGAUCUUGUGAUUGCUUUCGCUUUUGCAAAUAACAAUCUUGCAGGUCUUCAAAAUGUGCACCACACACAGAGGAAGUUGGCCGACUGUUACAAUCAAGAAAUCCAAGGAGCAUACCUGAGAAAGCACUCGCCUCUUUUUCGAAAGAACCUCACUUUCUCUCACUCCAGACGUUCCCUCGUCAUCAGUUUGCGCUCGCUUAAGACGAGCUUUUUCUCCAUCCGGGGAGCUCCCUUCCGCUUCGGACGCCUUGACACGACAGCGAGAGCUAGGAAGCUUUUGGUGAACAGGCGACGCAUGACGUUCUUUGGAUUUCUUCAAACUAGUCGCCUGCUUUUCAACAGCAGCAAUGUCUUCCUUGAGCCAUUGCAGGUCUGUUUGUAUCUGAACGAAGAAAACGUCGUGAGUAAGAUCACAGGUCCGGAGUUCUCACCUCGUUUAACUCUUGCUGCUUCUGUUGCCUCGACCGCUGCAAGAAAUCAUGCAAGACCUCCAAAUUUGUUUCAGUCAACAAACUCAAAAGUGUAUCGAUGUCUUUCAUCGAGAUGUCUGCUCCCUGAGAAUCACAAACAAAACAUCAGCACUAUAACUAAAAACCAAACUUUUCGACAAAAAAGACCUGUUUGAGAGCAAGCCGCAGGUGCUCUCCCGGUGACGUAGAGCUGGCAACUUGGCACACACUCGCCUUCCUCAAAUCUCCAACAGAGGAAACCAUGGAACAUCAAACUUCCGAGCAAGAUGGCAAAACAAAUCGAAGGUACCUUGUUGAGAAGGAAAUUCGGGUAGAGCUGGCCGCUGGUCAAGUAAGCUCCACAGCAGGGACAGUUGCUCUUGAUGUUUAGAUGCGUCAUGAUGCACAGCUGUGGCCGCAGCUCGUCAAAAACGCGUCUUUGAUCGUCUGGAUGCAUAUCGGGCACAGGAAAUCCCUGUCGAGCUCGAGAUUGUAGCUGGAGGCCUCGGUUCUCGUCCCACACACGGAUGGAACUUGGGCAGCGUCAGAGGAGCGAGCUUGCAUCUCCGUGAGCCUCUAUCAUUCUCUCGCCUUAAUAGGACGAACUUACAAGACCCCGCGCUUCUUCUUUUCUGCCUUCUUCGUCUUCUCGCCCGUCCCGCUCUAGGGAUUAUUGUUGUGUGAGAGAGCGAGGAAUGUCGGGCAUAUUCUAAGGGUGAUUACGUGGCCGGCCGUGAUUGGAGGACAUCUCAGGUCGGUAAGAAGCCACGAUAAGGGCCAUCCCGCCGUCCAGGCCCACGUGGUGUCUACCAGCUUCAACUUCGUCAAACCAACCAAGAGUCAAGUCAAUGCGUAGAGAUGAUGGUGUGAAAUGUGCUCCGGAAUAUGCUCUCUAGCUUUUGACGAUCGUCUCGGCCUCGGCGGAUGGCUCCAUAGCUCUCAUGGACCUGAGGCACGUCAUGAGGAAAGGAAGCAUCAAGUCGAGAGCAGCGGCCACGGUGAAGCGCCCCUACAAAAUGAAAGGAGACACUGCGCAAAGGAUGCUGUCCAGCGGUGGCUCUUGCGCUUACUCAGUGGACUUGGCUCGGACAGGAUUGUGAGUGCCGGGGAGGGGACGGCGAUCAAGGUCUGGGACUUCUCCCAGGCUCUCGAGUUUGAGAAGAAAACACAGGCGCUUCGAAGCGUCCGGAGAGAGCAGAGAGCUCAGCGGAAGCUCGCGAUUAAGAACAGGAGAAAGGAAUGACUGCCAGGAACUUCGGUUCAGGGAUAAAGGGGAUCGACUACACAAAGUUGGUAACGCUCGAUAUCGAUCUCAACUCACCGACAUUAUUUCAAAACAAAAUGGUCUUGAAGAUCAUGCUUCUGGAGAUUAGUCUCCAGUAAAAAACCUCAAUUAUUUCCAAAUAUCUAACACGAAGAUCAUGCCAAAAAACCAAAGUUUUCAAUAUCUUAAAAGUAUCAAAGAAAGAUCAAUCACGAAGAACCACGGAAAGAAGGUUGCGAACCUGUCGCAUCGUUGGCCUGUUUCCCGGAUUGCUAUCUAUGCAUCGCAGCGCCGUGACAAGCACUCUGGUGGCCUCCUCCGCGUUGAAAACUCCCUACAGCCUUGGAUCCACGACACCCAAGAGCUUCCCGGCCGCGUACUGCUCCUCCACCCAUGGCACCAGCAGCCAUGCGUUGUGAUCCUUCUCCUUGGAGCUCCCAAUCACCCGCCUCCCAGUCACAACCUCGAGCGUCACCACGCCAUAGCUGUAGACAUCCGACGCGGGCGUGAACUUGUAUGUGACCCCGACCUCGGGCGCGAUGUAUCCCAGCGUCCCCGCGAGCGUGGUGGUGCGUGAGCUCACGUCAUGGCUGGCUGUGCGCGCGAGGCCAACGUCGCCCAGCCUCGCGCGAAACUCUUCGUCCAGCAUCACGUUGCUGCAUUUCACGUCGCGGUGGAUGACCUGCUGCUCCCAGUCCUCGUGGAGGUAGAUGAGUGCGGCGGCGNNNNNNNNNNNNNNNNNNNNNNNNNNNNNNNNNNNNNNNNNNNNNNNNNNNNNNNNNNNNNNNNNNNNNNNNNNNNNNNNNNNNNNNNNNNNNNNNNNNNGUCGUAGACGAGGACGAGCUCGCGGUGGUCGCGCGCGCAGUGCCAGCCGCGGAGAGGGACAAGGUUACGGUGGCUGCGCUUGCUGAUGAUCUGGAGCUCCGCCAGGAACUCGCGCUCGCCCUGGUGCGAGUCCCGCACCAUCUUCUUGAUGGCCACCGGGGAGUUCUCGCCGGGGAGGAUGCCACGGUAGACCUUGCCGAAGCCGCCUGUGCCCAGGAGGUUGUGCUCGGGUGCCGGAGGUGAGCUGCGCUUAGGGAAUCUCGUGUGGCAGCGGCACAAGGUCCUUGGACGAGCUCUUCUUCUUCUUCUUCUCGGAUGGGAAGCCAAGUUUGCUCCAGGGAUUUUUGACAAGCCAGCUGACGACCGCGAGGAGCAGCAACGCGGCCAGGAACGCCAGGAGUGAUGCAGUGACGAUGAAGUAAACCUUGAAUCGAUCUUUCUACUUUCCACCAUCGACCACUGUCACUGGUGAUGGAGGAGGAAUCCUCUCCAAUCUGCUCGAGAAGUUCCAGGACAGGAUCCGGUGGAAGUCGAGGUUGGCGGUGCCAGAGCCGGCAGAGAAGCCCACGUACGAGACAUCGCUGACAUAGGCGCACAAAUUCACGCUGUGCUCCAGCACCGGGUCGCCCAAGUUCCGGAACGAUGGGUCGGAGGAGACGAACACUCGCAGCCUCUGCACGGCGGCAUCGUAAUCGAUUCUCGCCGCGACGGUACCGAUGCCAAGAGAGAUCCUCCGCGGAUAGAGCGAGCUCGAGUUCACGGACAGGAUCCCGUUGAUGUCGAGGCCGACGUGGUUGUCAUCGAUGUCCUGGAACUCGGGAUAGACUGGUGGAAAGUUCAUGAAAGUGUCGAAUUCCACCGCGACGAUGCGGUUGCUCGCGCGGCCAUUCGCGGCGGGAUCGAACAAGCCCAGCCAGCGGCCAUAGCCAGCGGAGGAGGUGGGGACGAGGUUAGGGGCGAUAGUGAACGCGAGGCCAUCGGCAUUGACCAGUGUGGAGUCGUUCUUGGUGAUGGCGAAGACGAACUCGGUGGAGAAGGAGGCGCCGGCGCCGGCGGAUGCGUUGCAAAGCUGGAUCUCCUGCUGCUUCAUGAUCCUGCCAUAGCUCGACAGGCGAUUGCCGGUGAGCCGGAGCUCGUCAUUGUUGAAGGUCGCGUCACCAGUGGCCACAAAAUCGUUGCGUGCCUGGGGCGAGAAGUUGCUGUAUGUGAAACUUACGUGAUCAUCAAGCGCUGCUGUUGCGCCUAGUGCCACGAUCGAAAGCACGAUCGCCAGAGCUUUGGCCAUUGGACCAACCAACGCUAGAAGAGCAAACUCGUGCGUGGUCGACACGGCUAGACCGAUCAUUUUAACCAGUGAGGCAGCGAGAGCUGUUGAAGCAUGAUUUAAUACUUUGAAGGAGGUCCGGGUUCAAUCCUCGGCCUGUUCAAGUCCAUUUUCCAUCGUCUCUUUUGUUAUCGGUACCUUGACAGGAUAGUUCCCGGAACUCGAGCCUUUUUUAAUUAGUGAGCAAUCUGUUAGUAACACUUUCGGUGGACGAUGUUUGGCCCAUACUCAUCGUAGUCUCCCUUGGUGAGAUGCUGGUUUUGAGGGAACACCACCUUGGCGAGGAUGGCGCCGCCAAUCCAUGCCGAGUAUUGCAGCGUCCGCUCUGGCAUGUACUCCGGAGGCUGCGAAAGCGGAGAGAAUGAGAAAGACGAAAGCCAGAAAAGUUUCACUGCUUCUUCUUUACCUUCACUACGGAGGGCCGCAAGGAGGGAGUUCCGUGAAGAGACACCUCCUUCUGAAAGCGAGCUUCAAAACCUGGGAAGUGCUUGGAAGGUGAGCUAGGAAAAAACGAGGAUGGAUUCUUGCCUUUCAUCGUUGAAGUGCCUCCACACAGCACAAUGUUCUCGAUCAGAGGCUUCUGGCAUUCGGCAGGAGAGCAGAGCGAAAGGCUUCUCACAAGCUGCUCCGUGAUCCCGUAUUCCUGGAUUUCCACAAGUGAUGGCUGAUAGAGCACCUCACCAAGUGUGUAUCUUUCACUUCCAACAGAAAUGACCUGUCCCCACAAACACGAGCUAAGAAAACAUACACAGCAGCAAAAGCUUACCCGACCGUCAGGUAGCGUGUGUUCUAUGACAGAUCCCUCAGCCACCUUCUUCUCGUAAUCCACAGAAUCGUCCAGACUCACUGCUACUGCUUCUUUGAUCUGCUCCAGCGCAAAACCAUCCAGCUUCGUGUGAGGAUUGGACUUGGCCAGCUUAGUCCCGAGGAGCUCUGUCAAGUCCUGUCCAGCGUACUCGAACCGCUUGACGGCGUUGUGCUGGAUUCCACCCUCCCACACGGGCGCAAUAUCUGCAGCGAAAACAAGUCUUGUGCACCAUUCGUUACAUUGUUACACAACGUUACCAGAGCCACUGUGAAUGAGUACCUAUUUUCCCAUGUCCGACGUCCACUGCACAGCCAGAGAUGCGUCCCACAGCAUACACGGACAGCACUGGUUGCUCCACGGCAUAGAAGCCAUUCACAUUGAAAGUUUCAAACAUAAGUUGGACGGUCUUCUCCCUUGCAAUCUGUCACAGAAAAUCAAGCAUGAGUUUCAAACAGUUCACAGAUGCCAUGACGAUGACAAGGAGUCCAAAAAAAAAGCGAAAACCAUGUCCAUGACUUGAUACAAAGAAGAAGUCAUGCAAAAAGAUAGAAGAACAAGGAUACCGAAAACCAUGUCUCCCUAGCUACGAGUGAACACAAAGAAGUCAGUCAUACAAAAUGAAAGAAAGAAGAACGAAGGAAACAAAGAAAGGACAAAAGAAAGAGGCUUGCCUUUCGUGUGAGCAGUGAGUCGGCAAUUAAAAUUUGGCCCUCGUUUCCAACCUCCCAGCCCAGGCCUGUGUAGAAAACAUACCUCCACAGGUCUUCCAUGGCUUCCCAGUCAUGGAUAGCUCCUCUCUCGAUGGGAUUCACGGCAUUCUCCUUCCAAUCGUCUCCAUUCAAGUCGAUCUUGUCGAUGUCGCCCUCGUCCGCCUUGGUCAUUGCCGUUUGCAUCACCUACAGGCGGAGCGCAAGCAUCUAAACCCAAUGUCGAUGGAUUCCUAGAGUGAUUACCAGCUGAGGAUCUUGCUCGGGGAUCGCGAAGCCGGCCUUGAGCAGCCUGGAGCCGGCGUCGAUCACUAUCGCCUCUGCUGCCAUAGCGGACAAGAACCCUAAAAUCUCUCGGUUUGCUUUAUAUCUCGCGUUCGAUUCUCCUGGCUAACAAAAAGCUAACGAAACUUCGUCGUUAGGCGGCCAUAACUAGAACUUUGAUGGUUCCCUGGCUAUUGGCGGCUAACAAAGUUGGACUGUCGCUCUUCCAACACACGGCGCUGAUGAAAUGCAAUGAGUCGUCUAAGCUUCCAAAUCGGUGUCGAGUUGCUGGUCUAGAAAUCGCCUGAAAAAAAAAGAGAAAAGUAUAAGAAACACUUCCGAAGAUGAGAAGAAAAAUUCGCAUUUUUACCUUGUGAUACACGAACACUUCGUUGGUUUCACUUCCACAGGUUACGUAGUCACUGUUACCGCUCAAACCAACGAAGUUCCUCUCGUUUAUAUGCCCAGUUAGCGUUCUAAUCUGCAUAGAAGCUAGAAGUUUAAAACAAGAGCUUCAAAACAAGAGCGAGCUUACCGGAGUGUUAGUUCUGACAUUCCAGAUCCGCAAGGUGCUAUCAGUCGAUGCGGACACGAGCUCCUCCGGCGUGAUGAACUUCACGUACGAGACGGUCUUUUGGUGGCCGCUAAAGGUGUGGACUGGCGAAGCAGGAGAGCGCAAAUCGUAGUAAUGUAUGCGGUGAUCGGCCGAUCCAACCUGCAAAUGCUUGGAAAUGAAUAAAACACCACUGUACCAAACCGAUAACUCACAAGAGAUAGAAAAAGAGUACCGC